UGAAAAUCUUAUGCCAGACAGAUGACUCUACUAAUUGCACAGUGCAAGCUUUAGAGAGAAUAAAGGGAAUCAUUUGGAAAGAAAAGACCAAAUUGUAACUUACUUCUUCAAAAAUUUAUACCCCACUUUAAAAAUUGAACCAGCAUGCCUGACCCUAUAUCGAUUUUUAUUGAAUAAUACUGGCGACUUAGAAGUGGAGCUGGCAAUCCUUAGGGACCUAGCAUACAUCAUAACGAAGAAAUCAUACUUCACAUUUAAUAACAAGUUUUAUCUGCAGAAUAUCGGUGUGCCUAUCAGGAGCCCUGUGGCAGCCCCUAUUGCAGAAAUGACUUUGAGGGAAGUUGAAACAAAAGCAUUGAAUAGUUGAAGAAGCAACAUCAAACAUUCUACAUAAGAUACAUUGACAUCAUUUUUACAGUUUGGAGAGCAAAACAAGAUCCCAGAAUAUUAGCAAUAGAUCUCAAUAGAUGCUUACGGCCUAACUUUAAAGCGGCAAGACAAGUUUACUACUAGUGCGCUCUUUCUAGACAUAAACUUAGUGCUCAAAGAUUGUAAUAUGAAAACCACAGUAUUCAAAAAACGAAUAUAUGAACCUGUAAUCAUCCCCAAUUGGUCACCAGACCCUUACACCUACAAGCUUGCAGAUUUCCACUUUUAUUUCCAACGAGCCAUCCUCUACACAAACAGGCAAAGGGAUUUGGAUGGUGAACUGGAUUGUCUUUUUAAGGUGGGCCAAGCACAUGGUUAUUCUAAACACACUUUGAAAGGCCUCUUUUCAAAAGUAAAGCAAUC
Molecule: long non-coding RNA, 792 nt
Filed under: Androctonus crassicauda
Lineage: Eukaryota; Metazoa; Arthropoda; Arachnida; Scorpiones; Buthidae
Source: RNAcentral